CCCUUAGACGUUCUGGGCCGCACGCGCGCUACACUGACCAGUGCAACAAGCAUCCGUCCUUGGCCGACAGGCUCGGGCAAUCUUUGAACGCUGGUCGUGAUGGGGAUAGACUUUUGCAAUUUUUGGUCUUCAACGAGGAAUUCCUAGUAAACGCAAGUCAUCAACUUGCAUUGAUUACGUCCCUGCCCUUUGUACACACCGCCCGUCGCACCUACCGAUUGAAUGGUCCGGUGAAGCCUCCGGAUUGGCGCGCACCUCGGUGCCGCCGAGAAGUUGGCUAAACCUUACCGUUUAGAGGAAGGUGAAGUCGUAACA
Molecule: ribosomal RNA, 315 nt
Filed under: uncultured eukaryote
Lineage: Eukaryota
Description: partial 18S ribosomal RNA
Rfam family: Eukaryotic small subunit ribosomal RNA
Source: RNAcentral